Molecule: ribosomal RNA, 565 nt
Filed under: uncultured bacterium
Lineage: Bacteria
Description: partial 16S ribosomal RNA
Rfam family: Bacterial small subunit ribosomal RNA
Source: RNAcentral
UGGGGAAUUUUGGACAAUGGGCGAAAGCCUGAUCCAGCAAUGCCGCGUGUGUGAAGAAGGCCUUCGGGUUGUAAAGCACUUUUGUCCGGAAAGAAAUCCUUGGCUCUAAUACAGUCGGGGGAUGACGGUACCGGAAGAAUAAGCACCGGCUAACUACGUGCCAGCAGCCGCGGUAAUACGUAGGGUGCAAGCGUUAAUCGGAAUUACUGGGCGUAAAGCGUGCGCAGGCGGUUUGCUAAGACCGAUGUGAAAUCCCCGGGCUCAACCUGGGAACUGCAUUGGUGACUGGCAGGCUAGAGUAUGGCAGAGGGGGGUAGAAUUCCACGUGUAGCAGUGAAAUGCGUAGAGAUGUGGAGGAAUACCGAUGGCGAAGGCAGCCCCCUGGGCCAAUACUGACGCUCAUGCACGAAAGCGUGGGGAGCAAACAGGAUUAGAUACCCUGGUAGUCCACGCCCUAAACGAUGUCAACUAGUUGUUGGGGAUUCAUUUCUUAGUAACGUAGCUAACGCGUGAAGUUGACCGCCUGGGGAGUACGGUCGCAAGAUUAAAACUUAAAUGAAUUGAC